AUGAGGACACAGAAGGUCACAGCACCUCUGAUCUUUGCCAUCUCCAUUGCUACAAUAGGCUCUUUCCAGUUUGGCUACAACACCGGAGUCAUCAAUGCUCCUGAGAUGAUCAUAAAGGACUUUCUCAAUUACACCCAGGAGGAGACGUUGAAUGACCGUCCCACUGAGGUGUUACUCACUUCCCUCUGGUCCUUGUCUGUGGCCAUCUUCUCCGUUGGUGGUAUGAUUGGCUCCUUCUCCGUUGGACUCUUUGUCAACCGCUUUGGCAGGCGCAAUUCAAUGCUCAUUGUCAACCUCUUGGCUGUCGCUGGUGGCUGCCUUAUGGGGUUCUGCAAAAUAGCCUGGUCGGUUGGAAUGCUGAUCCUGGGCCGGUUGGUUAUUGGCCUCUUCUGCGGCCUCUGCACAGGUUUUGUGCCCAUGUACACUGGCGAAGUCUCUCCCACUGCCCUACGGGGGGCCUUUGGCACUCUCAACCAGCUGGGCAUCGUCAUCAGGAUCCUGGUGGCUCAGAUCUUUGGUCUGAAAGUCAUCAUGGGGACUGAAGAGCUUUGGUCCCUGCUUUUGGGCUUCACCAUCAUUCCAGCUGUCCUGCAAAGCGCAGCCCUUCCGUUUUGCCCCGAGAGUCCUAGAUUUUUGCUCAUCAACAGAAAGGAAGAGGAGAGUGCUAGGGAGAUCCUCCAGCGAUUGUGGGGCACCCAGGACGUGACUCAGGACAUCCAGGAGAUGAAAGAUGAGAGCACAAGGAUGGCACAAGAGAAGCAAGCCACGGUGCUGGAGCUCUUCAGGUCACGCAGCUACCAGCAGCCCAUUAUGAUUUCCAUCAUGCUCCAGCUGUCCCAGCAGCUGUCUGGAAUCAAUGCUGUGUUCUAUUAUUCAACAGGAAUCUUCAAAGAUGCAGGUGUUCAGGAGCAAAUCUAUGCCACCAUCGGCGAGGGUGUAGUUAAUACCAUCUUCACUGUUGUCUCUCUGUUUCUGGUAGAAAGGGCAGGGAGGAGGACUCUACAUAUGACUGGCCUUGGAGGGAUGGCUGUUUGUUCCAUCUCUAUGACCAUCUCAUUGUUACUAAAGGAUGACUAUAAUUGGAUGAGCUUUGUUUGUAUCGGGGCUAUCUUGGUCUUUGUGGCCUUCUUUGAAAUUGGCCCAGGCCCCAUUCCCUGGUUUAUCAUGGCCAAACUCUUCAGCCAAGGACCCCGCCCAGCCGCGAUGGCAGUGGCUGGUUGUUCCAACUGGACCUCCAACUUCCUGGUUGGGCUCCUCUUCCCUUCAGCUGCAUUCUAUUUAGGAGCCUAUGUUUUUAUCAUAUUCACUGGCUUCCUCAUUCUCUUCUUGGUCUUCACCUUCUUCAAAGUCCGAGACUCAUGGCAGGACUUUUGAGGAAAUCACAUGAGCCUUCGAGGGGCAGGCUCGGGAGGCUAACAGAGCUGAGAAAGGCCCCAUCGUGGAGAUGAACAGCAUCCAGCCCAUGAAGGAAACUGCCACCGUCUAAGCCAUGCCUCCUUCCCGCCUCCCUCCCAACAUGGAAAAGCAACCUCUCCCCAGAUGAGGAGGAGACCUCAUCAGCUUGUAACCCAGGACUGUUUCUGAAUGCUGCUACUUGAUUCCUUUCUCUUCCCACACACUCCAUGAGCACUCAGAGGAACCCAGUGCAGGAGUUAGUUGUAUCUUCAAUGGCUUUCGAAAAAUUUCAUUUCUUGGACAUUCUCUUCUAUUUAGGAGAGACCAAGCAAACCUACCUUCAUUUCAGGAGGAAUUGGCCACUUGCCAUCUGACAGCAUUGUCAUCUCUUCCUCCCUUGGGUUCUAAUAGGGCCUCACCAGGGCCAAUAGGGGAGGAGAGUAAGAGUGAGGUGCAGUUUCCCCGACCCCAGACUUCCCAGGAAGCAGAUCUAUAUGAGUGUGGAGGGCAGAGAGGGAUUAAAUAAGAGCACCAUCCUUGCUUCCAUACAGCUCUGCGGAGCAAAUUAACUUGAGUUUUAUUUAUUUUAUCUUCUGGUUUUAUUGCAUAAAUAUUUAUUUUUUUAAGUGUAAAAUAAUUUUACCAAAUAAUGAAAACAGAAGGAAAUUGAGGAUAGAGGGAGGCACUUGAAGAGAGGUUCUAGGGUAGAAGAUUUGAUACUGGAGAGGUCGAGGUGCAAUAAGGGGAAGAUUCAGGGAGAAGUAUAACGUGUUCUCAGAGGGUACAUGAUGGGGUGUGUGAACUUUGCACGUUGCCUCUUAACCUUCAGGUGGAAACUCUCAAGUUUAAUUUCUCAGAAAAGUGAUGUGCCUGUAUUAAGAAGCUACUGGUUACCUUUAGAACUUUUUUCUUUGUUUAAAAUUAUAUGUAGUGUUACUUGAAAUCUAGGGUUAUUAAGAUGGGCAUUAUAGCUAAUGGUGGUGGAUGGGUUCUAAUUUUGGUUGGAGUCCAGAGAAGGGAAGGUUAUUUCUAGAUAUCCUUUCUCCCCUCACUGGACAAAACAACUUCUUCCCCUUAUAGUGGACUCACUGUGGGGGGUGGGG
RNA transcript from Odobenus rosmarus divergens (Pacific walrus), 2498 nucleotides. It is a transcript of the gene named solute carrier family 2, facilitated glucose transporter member 3-like, with no coding region annotated. The transcript has a single exon. Lineage: Eukaryota; Metazoa; Chordata; Mammalia; Carnivora; Odobenidae. The record is from RefSeq and is a predicted model, not a curated record.